AGAUACCCAAUCUUAUCUCCCUGAAGUUGCUGUGAAGCAGAUUGAAGCUACUAAUCAUAUCUCCUUGAAGUUGCAGUGGAGCAGAUUAAAACGAUGAAUCCUAUACCUCUAACGUUGCAUGGCAGUGAAGUAGGUUAAAGCAACAAGUCUUAUCUCCCUGACGUUGUAGUGGAGCAAACUAAAACUACGAAUCCCGUCCCCCAUGAAGUUACAGCAGAGUGGAUUGAAGCUACAAGCCGUAUCUCUCUAAAGUGCAGUGGAGUGAAUCGCAGCAACAAGACGCAAUGGAUUGGAGCAGCACCAAGAAGUCAAGACUCGACGAGACCGGGCAAAUUUAGCCUUUCUUAAAAGUCUUUGCUUCAUUCUCGUUGCACUACAAUGAGCAAAGAGGGACAGCUGUAAAGCCCAAAAUCUGCCCGGGCCCAAAAUAAAAC
RNAcentral lists this long non-coding RNA (434 nucleotides) under Gossypium barbadense (sea-island cotton). Its description in RNAcentral is "long non-coding RNA (GBAR_LNC013303)". Lineage: Eukaryota; Viridiplantae; Streptophyta; Magnoliopsida; Malvales; Malvaceae. The record is from RNAcentral.